This 429-nucleotide ribosomal RNA is filed under the name uncultured archaeon. RNAcentral's name for it is "bacterial SSU rRNA". It matches the Rfam family "Archaeal small subunit ribosomal RNA", at positions 474 to 903 of the family's 1478-position model. The record is from RNAcentral.
UACCAGCCCCCUGAGUGGUAGGGACGAUUAUUUGGCCUAAAGCGUCCGUAGCUUGCUUAGUAAGUCCUUCGUCAAAUCCGACGACUCAAUCGUCGGCCCGCGGAAGAUACUGCUAGGCUUGAGGACGGGAGAGGUCGACGGUAGUCCCGGGGUAGGGGUGAAAUCCUAUAAUCCCGGGAGGACCACCAGUGGCGAAGGCGGUCGACUAGAACGUGCCUGACGGUGAUGGACGAAAGCUGGGGGAGCGAACCGGAUUAGACACCCGGGUAGUCCCAGCUGUAAACGAUGCAAGCUAGGUGUUGGAACAACUACGAGUUGCUCCGGUGCCGCAGAGAAGUUGUUAAGCUUGCCGCCUGGGGAGUACGGCCGCAAGGCUGAAACUUAAAGGAAUUGGGCGGGGAGCACCACAAGGGGUGAAGCUUGCGGUUU